GACGGGAUCUCGGCUGGUUUCUCGCUUUCAGGGAAGAGUUGCAAGAGCAAUCCGCCAAGGAAAAAGAAUGCAUGCCUCUAGAAGAAUACACUGCCUUCGUGCUCACAGGCCAAAACCUUCUGCUACCACCGGAGAGGCCGCGCAGAAUUCUUGUGGGUGCAAACAGGGGUGUCGAAAUGAGCAAACUGCCGUCGGUACACUCUACACACUCAUUGUCAUGGUCAUCCUAAUUGCAAUUUGGGGAGUCUGGGCCAGGAAAGAUUUCUAAGCAUGCUGAAGGAAGACGUUCGAUAUCAAAAGCUCAGAGAGACCCUCUUAGGGACAGGAAGAGCAAAACGCUCGGCUUACACACACCGGAACUGCUAUCGAAGGACAAUUGCCGAUGGAUGUGAAGUCUCUCUCUGCCCCUCUUUCUGGCAACGCUCAAAAUUCAACAGAGAAAAGAAUGCAAAGUGAUGAUUCUUUUGAGACAGCUUUGUAUAAUGAUGAUCAUAAAAUGAUGCAGCCCUGUAAAUCCUGUAAAUGCAAAGUAUGUAAAAUAUAAAUAUAAAAUAUACCUAUUUUAAGAA
Lacerta agilis (Sand lizard) is the source of this 569-nucleotide long non-coding RNA. RefSeq lists it as uncharacterized. NCBI's taxonomy places the organism in Eukaryota, Metazoa, Chordata, Lepidosauria, Squamata, Lacertidae. The transcript is spliced from 2 exons. The record is from RefSeq and is a predicted model, not a curated record.